GACGAACGCUGGCGGCGUGCUUAACACAUGCAAGUCGAACGGAAAGGCCCUGCUAUUGUGGGGUGCUCGAGUGGCGAACGGGUGAGUAACACGUGAGUAACCUGCCCUUGACUUUGGGAUAACUUCAGGAAACUGGGGCUAAUACCGGAUAGGAGCUCCUGCUGCAUGGUGGGGGUUGGAAAGUUUCGGCGGUUGGGGAUGGACGAGCGGCUUAUCGGCUUGUUGGUGGGGUAGGGGCUUCCCAAGGCUUUGACGGGUAGCCGGCCCGGGAGGGUGGCCGGCCACCAUGGUCCUACGGUACGGCCCAGUCUCCUACGGUGGGCAGCGGGGGGGAACAUUGUCCAACCGGCCGGAGUCUGUUGCGACGGCCCCCGGGUCGGGAAGACCGUCUUUGGGGUGUGAACCGCUUUCGGCUAUUACCCAGCGGUUGUGACGGUAAUGGGUAAAGAAGCACCGGCUAACUACGUG
Molecule: ribosomal RNA, 468 nt
Filed under: uncultured bacterium
Lineage: Bacteria
Description: partial 16S ribosomal RNA
Rfam family: Bacterial small subunit ribosomal RNA
Source: RNAcentral